CUGGCGCCCGAGGAAUGGUUUCGGGGAGCGCGGACGCGGCCCGGAGGACUCGAUGCCCGCCCAGGCCUGCUCGCGGAAGAGUUCAAGGUGCUCUCCGCCUCGGGAGGCCGUGUGGGGCUCGCGCUCUGGACGGUUUCCCACCUGGCAGUGCAGCCGCUGGGAAGUCCGGGCGCCGGAGGGGUCACCGGUCGUCUGCAAGGGGAGGCGGAGGCUGAGCGCCCCGGUCUGGCCCGGGCGACCCAGACGUUCCAGACGCCCUCAUCCCGGCUGCCCAGCGCCGCGCCCGCACACCCCCGGGCGUGGGGGGCGACAUGGCCGCGCUGUCGCCCUGGCGGUUUUUCUGGAGUUCAGACCGCAAUCCUGCCCUAUUUGGUUAAGCUCGAGCUAGUUGCUCCUGACGGCGUCUUAAGAACAAAAGUGUCCCCCUCCCCCUCCCCGAAAUUGCAUUUUCAGCAGUUUGGUGGGGAUCUUAACUACUAACCAUGUUUCACAUGUAUUCACGUGUUUUCACGACCAUCCAGUUGGCACGCUUUGGGCUGUCCCAAAUCUGUGUGGAGGAGCCUGUUUUUAGGGGUACGGUUAGGCCAUUUUCCUGGUCUGGGCCUCUGGCGGCAUCUUGGGUGUGAACCUGGUGUGGAUGGUGGCCUUUCCGGAGCUCCUGGCGUUGUCCAUGUGAUUGUGAUGUUUCACCUGCAGGCCUUUCUAGUCUGCAGGCGGCCCAGCUUGUGGCAGGAGGGAACAGGUGCAGAACAGGAGCGGCUCCCGGAGACCUGGCGACCCCCGGGGGCCGGCCGGGCCCGCUGCUGCCUUCCACCCGGAGACACAGAGGCUCCCCCUUCCUUGGCAGGAUUGGAUGUUGAAUUAUAUGGCCAUCCUACGUAUGGAGCAGUUUAUCUUGAAAAGUUCCUACCGAGAAAGUGAAAGCCAAAGGAAGACAGUGUGUUGAAUAGACUGGACUCGUGAGCCAUUUUUGUGAGGAGCCGCUACUCCACAGAGGGGAUGUCAGUUGUGUUAAGGA
This is a long non-coding RNA of Hyaena hyaena (striped hyena), 1018 nucleotides long. RefSeq lists it as uncharacterized. The transcript has 3 exons. NCBI's taxonomy places the organism in Eukaryota, Metazoa, Chordata, Mammalia, Carnivora, Hyaenidae. The record is from RefSeq and is a predicted model, not a curated record.